Non-coding RNA from Arachis ipaensis, 326 nucleotides. The record is from RefSeq and is a predicted model, not a curated record. NCBI's taxonomy places the organism in Eukaryota, Viridiplantae, Streptophyta, Magnoliopsida, Fabales, Fabaceae.
CAGAUUCUCCUCACAAUAUGGAGCAAGAAACAAAGAUGUUGGAACAAGUUUCCGGAAUGAAACUCACACAAGAGACCAAGAAACUAAGGCAGACUUUUACUUGUCUUGUAUAUUCAUAUUCUAAGUAGUAAAAACAGCACUUAUUAGAUGAUUUAAAUACAUUAUUAGAUAUUAAUAUAGUUUAGGGAACUGGAUGGUAGAUUUGACUAAUUAGUGUUUAUUGCGAAUUUGCAAUGCUUGUAUUUUGGUAAGUUUAGUAAGACAAGGUUUUGUAUAAGAGUUAUUACUUUUGAUUUUCAAUAAUAAAAAAUUAUAUAUUAUAUUAA